GCAAUCACGUGAUAGAAAGAAUUCGCAUAUUUGCACGUGCUGUUUUUCCGGAAUUCCGCAACGCCGUCAAAUAAAAGUCUCCAUUUACACAUUGUUGUCCCUGCUACAAGAUGGCCGACGAAGCAAUCGAGAAAUUUCCUCGAUUUAAAAGACAAAUUUGACAUACAUAUUAAACCUUUACGGUUCUCGAAAUUGAAACAUCUUCAUGAGAAUCAAAAAUAGAAGUGAGACUGAAACCGACCAUGACCAUAAUUUUGGUGAAACUACUCCUUGUCCAGUGUCCACUGCAGCACCACGUGGGUACACCGGUAUCGAUCUGUGCCAGAUGUUGAUUUCAAUAAAGACAUUAAAGACUAUGACCCUACAGAUGUUAAUUAGUAUGACGGAAGAAGUAAAAUUUUUGCAGAACAGAUUUUUUGUUUGCUGUGUCCAUGUCAGAUACAUAAGGUGAAGCAAGCUAUGGACUAGACAGUGUAUUCAGCUUUCUCUGCUGAAGUAAUGUGACCAAAUCAAGUGUCACCUGGAAAGAGGAAUGUCAAGGGUGAUUAACAUUAACUCCAAGAUAGCCAUUGGAAACUUCAAGCAAAAUCUGCUACAGCAAACUCAAACAUAAAGUGGCAUAACGAGGAAUAUUUAUGUCUGGACUGAGAAUCUAACGGAAGAUCCCUGUAUCACUAGUUAGAUCCCACGGAAAUAUAGGAUCCUUUACUAAUCAAGUGUCAUCUGCAGUGUUACAAAAGAAUAUUGGAUUUAUAUCAAUAAGAAAAAAGAACUACCAGAAGGAGACAGUAAAGGGGAACGGACAUAUCACACCAUAAGACAUGCUUCAAUAUCUGAAUAUACAGAAUGAAUUUUGCUCACUGCAGAUCCUUGUCAAAGAACACCUUUGUUGUAUUGACAUAAAAACAAAGGAAUUGUCAGGAUUCUUGAACAUGACAAAACUGACUGCAUACAAUGGCAAUUAAAAAAUGCAUUCAUGUUCACAUUGAUCUUUGUUAGCCAAUUAGAAAAAAAGCAAAAUAGCAAGUUUAUCCUAUUACCAUACAUGUAUUGAAUGUAUUCACUAUAUUUUGUUGAACUACAUCAUGAGUUUAAAAAUUGUACAGUAUCAUAUACAGUUUAUGGUGGGAUUCCUCUAACUUUUAUGAAUCUGUGUGCAAAAUCUUUACUUUAAAGUUACAAAUUAUUACCUCUGAUACAUUGUAUGUUUUCUUAGUAAAUUAUUACAGUAUUUUUGUAAGUAUGAAAUGAAAACCGAAUCACUCUCCAUUUUCCCACACUUUUUACCAUGUGAUGCUCCAGUGUAUUGAUAUCUAACAACUGAUGACCAGGCAGUCUUCAUUUUACAGUGUAAUGCAUAACACAUUGUUAUCUAAAUAUUUUUAAAACAAAGAUAACAUGCCAUGGAUUGAUUCUGCAUACAAAACUUCAUAAUCACUG
Saccostrea cuccullata (small rock oyster) is the source of this 1440-nucleotide long non-coding RNA. RefSeq lists it as uncharacterized. The transcript is spliced from 5 exons. The record is from RefSeq and is a predicted model, not a curated record. NCBI's taxonomy places the organism in Eukaryota, Metazoa, Mollusca, Bivalvia, Ostreida, Ostreidae.